UACGGAGGGUGCAAGCGUUAGCCGGAUUCACUGGGUUUAAAGGGUGCGUAGGUGGGUUGGUAAGUCAGUGGUGAAAUCCCCGAGCUUAACUUGGGAACUGCCAUUGAUACUAUCAGUCUUGAAUACCGUGGAGGUUAGCGGAAUAUGUCAUGUAGCGGUGAAAUGCUUAGAUAUGACAUAGAACACCAAUUGCGAAGGCAGCUGGCUACACGAAUAUUGACACUGAGGCACGAAAGCGUGGGGAUCAAACAGG
Molecule: ribosomal RNA, 253 nt
Filed under: uncultured bacterium
Lineage: Bacteria
Description: partial 16S ribosomal RNA
Rfam family: Bacterial small subunit ribosomal RNA
Source: RNAcentral